Molecule: unclassified non-coding RNA, 423 nt
Filed under: uncultured Tricholomataceae
Lineage: Eukaryota; Fungi; Basidiomycota; Agaricomycetes; Agaricales; Tricholomataceae
Description: sequence contains ITS2
Rfam family: 5.8S ribosomal RNA (bases 1-154)
Source: RNAcentral
AACUUUUAGCAACGGAUCUCUUGGCUCUCGCAUCGAUGAAGAACGCAGCGAAAUGCGAGAAGUAAUGUGAAUUGCAGAAUUCAGUGAAUCAUCGAAUCUUUGAACGCACCUUGCGCUCCUUGGUAUUCCGAGGAGCAUGCCUGUUUGAGUGUCAUUAAAUUCUCAACCUUCCAACUUUUAUUAGCUUGGAUAGGCUUGGAUGUGGGGGUUGCAGGCUUCAUCAAUGAGGUCAGCUCUUCUUAAAUGCAUUAGCGGAACUUUUGUGGACCGUCUAUUGGUGUGAUAAUUAUCUACGACGUGGAUGAGAAACAGCUUUAUCAAGUUCAGCUUCUAACCGUCCAUUGACUUGGACAAUUUUGACAAUUUGACCUCAAAUCAGGUAGGACUACCCGCUGAACUUAAGCAUAUCAAUAAGCGGAGGAU